RNAcentral lists this ribosomal RNA (322 nucleotides) under uncultured Gemmatimonadota bacterium. RNAcentral describes it as "bacterial SSU rRNA". It matches the Rfam family "Bacterial small subunit ribosomal RNA", at positions 28 to 351 of the family's 1533-position model. The record is from RNAcentral. Lineage: Bacteria; Pseudomonadati; Gemmatimonadota.
GACGAACGCUGGCGGCGUGCCUAACACAUGCAAGUCGUACGGGCUUGGGGGCAACUCCAAGUCAGUGGCGAACGGGUGCGUAACACGUGAGAAAUCUAACAUUCGGCGGGGGAUAGCCGGCCCAACGGCCGGGUAAUACCGCGUACGCUCGUUGAGGGGCAUCUCUCGGCGAGGAAAGCAGCAAUGCACCGAAUGGGGAUCUCGCGGCCUAUCAGCUAGUUGGUGAGGUAAUGGCUCACCAAGGCGACGACGGGUAGCUGGUCUGAGAGGAUGGCCAGCCACAUUGGGACUGAGACACGGCCCAGACUCCUACGGGAGGCAG